RNAcentral lists this long non-coding RNA (454 nucleotides) under Olea europaea (common olive). RNAcentral's name for it is "long non-coding RNA (OEUR_LNC008561)". The record is from RNAcentral. Lineage: Eukaryota; Viridiplantae; Streptophyta; Magnoliopsida; Lamiales; Oleaceae.
AAAACAAUUGGAAGAAGAAAGUAUUGAAGAGGGACUGAAAUGAAGACAAUUGAAAGUUGGAGGACUAAAGCACAAAUACUCAAAAGAUGUGCCGAAUGAGUGGCAUUAGAUUUGAUGGUGUCAAUCAUCAAUUGGAAGAUAAAAUUUGUUGAAAAGAUGAAGAAAUCGAAGAAAGAAGUCAAGAGAAGUAACAAGAAAGUUCAGGGACCAAAAUGUAAAAAACCACAUAGUUGGUUAUAUCUAUGCGACCGCAUAGUGUAACAAUCUAUGCGGUCGCAUAGAUGGAUGCAGGGAAAAUAUUGGGGCAUUUCAAAUGACCUAUGCGACCGCAUAGGUUCCUUCUAUGAGGUCGCAUAGAAGAAAGUUCGGGUGGUUUUCUGCAGUUUCCUUUUUUGACUCCAACUCUUUUUUUUUACCUAAUUUGGACACGCUAUAUAUACCCUAAAACACGUCC